UUGCACACUUGGCAUUUCUGAUUUUCUUUCUAGGGUCCUCGUGGUCCUCAAGGGAUUGAUGGUGAACCUGGUAUCCCUGGCCAGCCUGGUGACCCUGGUCCUCCGGGGCAUCCCACUCACCCAGGGCCGGAUGGAAUAAGCAGGCCAUUUGCAGCUCAGAUGGCAGGACUGGAUGAGAAAUCUGGGCUUGGCAGCCAGAUGGGACUGAUGCCUGGUGCAGUGGGUCCAGUGGGUCCGAGGGGUCCUCAGGGUCUCCAAGGAAAACAAGUAAGUGCUUCACCUCAUGGGAUUUGGGAUAAUUGACUAGAGAUGAAGGAAAAGCUCACAGUAAUGGGUGUGUGCUCAUCUCUGGGGCG
This is a long non-coding RNA of Manacus vitellinus (golden-collared manakin), 356 nucleotides long. The record is from Ensembl. NCBI's taxonomy places the organism in Eukaryota, Metazoa, Chordata, Aves, Passeriformes, Pipridae.